Molecule: ribosomal RNA, 182 nt
Filed under: uncultured bacterium
Lineage: Bacteria
Description: partial 16S ribosomal RNA
Rfam family: Bacterial small subunit ribosomal RNA
Source: RNAcentral
CAUGAAGCUGGAAUCGCUAGUAAUCGCGGAUCAGAAUGCCGCGGUGAAUACGUUCCCGGGUCCUGUACACACCGCCCGUCACACCAUGGGAGUCGGAAAUGCCCGAAGUCUGUGACCCAACCUUAGGGAGGGAGCAGCCGAAGGCAGGUCGGAUGACUGGGGUGAAGUCGUAACAAGGUAAC